RNAcentral lists this ribosomal RNA (124 nucleotides) under Pogona vitticeps (central bearded dragon). The record is from RNAcentral. Lineage: Eukaryota; Metazoa; Chordata; Lepidosauria; Squamata; Agamidae.
CUGUUCAUACAUAGCACCAGGAACACACCUGAUCUGGUCAGAUUUCAUAAGCUAAGCAAGGUUGGAUGUGGCUGGUACUUGGAUGGAAGACCACCAGGGAAGAUCAAGGAUCCAUUAGGACAGU